RNAcentral lists this ribosomal RNA (463 nucleotides) under uncultured bacterium. RNAcentral's name for it is "partial 16S ribosomal RNA". It matches the Rfam family "Bacterial small subunit ribosomal RNA", at positions 28 to 505 of the family's 1533-position model. The record is from RNAcentral.
GACGAACGCUGGCGGCGUGCUUAACACAUGCAAGUCGAACGGAAAGGCCCUGCUUGCAGGGUACUCGAGUGGCGAACGGGUGAGUAACACGUGGGUGAUCUGCCCUGCACUUCGGGAUAAGCCUGGGAAACUGGGUCUAAUACCGGAUAGGAGCCAUUUUUAGUGUGAUGGUUGGAAAGUUUUUUCGGUGUAGGAUGAGCUCGCGGCCUAUCAGCUUGUUGGUGGGGUAAUGGCCUACCAAGGCGGCGACGGGUAGCCGGCCUGAGAGGGUGGACGGCCACAUUGGGACUGAGAUACGGCCCAGGCUCCUACGGGAGGGCGGCGGUGGGAAUAUUGCCCAAUGGGCGCAAGCCUGAUGCAGCCGCGCCGGGGGGGGGAUGACGGCCUUCGGGUUGUAAACCCCUUUCGCCAGGGAAGAAGCUUUUUGUGACGGUACCUUAAUAAGAAGCCCCGGCUAACUAAG